AAACUAAAAAAUUAGUUUUAUACAAAACCUUAGUAUGUCAAACUAAAAAAAUUAGUUUAAUCUAAUAUUUUUUA
Molecule: transfer RNA, 74 nt
Filed under: Anopheles quadrimaculatus A
Lineage: Eukaryota; Metazoa; Arthropoda; Insecta; Diptera; Culicidae
Description: tRNA-Asp
Source: RNAcentral